AUUGAACGCUGGCGGCAUGCCUUACACAUGCAAGUCGAACGGUAACGCGGGGCAACCUGGCGACGAGUGGCGAACGGGUGAGUAAUGUAUCGGAACGUGCCCAGUAGUGGGGGAUAGCCCGGCGAAAGCCGGAUUAAUACCGCAUACGACCUACGGGUGAAAGCGGGGGAUCGCAAGACCUCGCGCUAUUGGAGCGGCCGAUAUCAGAUUAGGUAGUUGGUGGGGUAAAGGCCUACCAAGCCUACGAUCUGUAGCUGGUCUGAGAGGACGACCAGCCACACUGGGACUGAGACACGGCCCAGACUCCUACGGGAGGCAGCAGUGGGGAAUUUUGGACAAUGGGCGCAAGCCUGAUCCAGCCAUGCCGCGUGCGGGAAGAAGGCCUUCGGGUUGUAAACCGCUUUUGUCAGGGAAGAAACGCUCUGGGCUAAUACCCCGGGGUAAUGACGGUACCUGAAGAAUAAGCACCGGCUAACUACGUGCCAGCAGCCGCGGUAAUACGUAGGGUGCAAGCGUUAAUCGGAAUUACUGGGCGUAAAGCGUGCGCAGGCGGUCUUGCAAGACAGAUGUGAAAUCCCCGGGCUCAACCUGGGAACUGCAUUUGUGACUGCAAGGCUGGAGUGCGGCAGAGGGGGAUGGAAUUCCGCGUGUAGCAGUGAAAUGCGUAGAUAUGCGGAGGAACACCGAUGGCGAAGGCAAUCCCCUGGGCCUGCACUGACGCUCAUGCACGAAAGCGUGGGGAGCAAACAG
Molecule: ribosomal RNA, 750 nt
Filed under: uncultured beta proteobacterium
Lineage: Bacteria; Pseudomonadati; Pseudomonadota; Betaproteobacteria
Also listed under: 1 other name
Description: bacterial SSU rRNA
Rfam family: Bacterial small subunit ribosomal RNA
Source: RNAcentral